AUGGCUCCUACUCUGGAGGAUGUGUCACUUUUGCUCGGACUACCGUUGGCAGGUCAUGCCGUAGGACCGUUGGACGCACCGGCUGGUUGGGAGCGAGCUCUCACAGAACAUUGUCACGGUGUUUUUCCGGAUGCUCCCGAUCCGGUAUGGGAGCAUCACGGACCUAAGUAUGAGUGGUUGCUAAAUUUCCGGAUCCAGAACUUCCGGGCGCCCUUGACUGCGGAACAGAUCACUCGGAGCCUCGAGGCCUACUUACUGUGGCUUUUCGGCAAGGUGAUGUUCACGGAGAACCAUGUCACCACUAUCAGCGCCCUCUACAUCCCUAUGGCACUCGAGAUAGCGAGCGCUCAGACGGCGGAUCAGAUCAGACAGAGGAGUUGGGGUUCAGCGGUGUUAGCGGCUACAUACCAAGGUAUGUGCAACGGUUGCCAGCUUACAUCGAGAAAGCCAGCCCUUCUUGGAUGCCCUCUAUUCCUACAGCUGUGGUCGUGGGAGAGGUUCUCUAUAGGGCGACCAGAUGUACGGGUUCAUGAGCCUAUAGACGCCAUGUUUGAUGUUGAGGGCAUCGACAUGCCUACUUUCGGUCUGUGUUGGACUCGUCGCAAGAGACGCUUUGCUAGUGAUCAGACCAGGAAGGCGUACACAGCAUUGAACGAGCAGUUCGAUGCGUACACCGGGGUAAUCUGGCAGCCCUACACGGAAGCAGCCAUACAAGCGAGAUACCCUGCUGGUAUGUCUGUGCUAUGCACAAGGGACCGAGAUUACUGGAUGACAAAAUCGAAGAUCAUCUUCGAUGUCUUCGUCGAGGAGAUGGCACAACAGAGGGUUAUGAGGCAAUUUGGUCUUCUGCAGUUGGAGCUACCUCCCCCUAUGGAGAACUCGGUGCCAGCACACAUCCACAGGACGACAAGGAAGGGCAUGAACAGGACAACUGCUGAAUGGCUAGUUAGACUAGAGCCGUAUGUUAUAGAAUGGGAGACAGCAAACACAAAUCUAUGGCACCAGAAUCACAAUUUCGAUCUCGAUGAAUUCAAUCUCUAUUUGCGGCGCUACAUGACCGGAACACGGUUACGCAUUGUUGAGUACUCCCACCCAGAGGAGUUACCGGAUCCUACUCCGUCGGAUAUGUACCCGAGCUAUGAUACUUCGGGCUCUAGGCAGUACGCGGCUACCUUGACACGCGAACUGUACGACGACGUGACCACCUUUGGACGAUCACUAUCGUCUGGACCUCUUCUUCAACAUCGUCCAGUGGUACAGCCCUUCUUGGAAAGAAUUCAGAAUAAGAUACGGACUGUGUACGAGGCUAUCACGUGCACCCGGAGAACCGAUGUUGUUUAG
This 1341-nucleotide ribosomal RNA is filed under the name Triticum aestivum (bread wheat). RNAcentral's name for it is "partial small subunit ribosomal RNA". Lineage: Eukaryota; Viridiplantae; Streptophyta; Magnoliopsida; Poales; Poaceae. The record is from RNAcentral.